This is a long non-coding RNA of Symphalangus syndactylus (siamang), 160 nucleotides long. RefSeq lists it as uncharacterized. The record is from RefSeq and is a predicted model, not a curated record. Lineage: Eukaryota; Metazoa; Chordata; Mammalia; Primates; Hylobatidae.
ACACAUCUCCUACAACAGAAAAACCAAAGCCUCCACAGAAAUACCUUUUUGAAACCCAAACCUAGGAAGCAGGUGAACUUAUUCUACUUUUACAGAGAAGGAAAAUCUCACACAGAGAAGAGAAAGAGACAAUAAAACAGACUAAAGAAUAAUGGCGGGU